Molecule: small nuclear RNA, 318 nt
Filed under: Sorex araneus (European shrew)
Lineage: Eukaryota; Metazoa; Chordata; Mammalia; Eulipotyphla; Soricidae
Description: 7SK RNA (ENSSARG00000018124.1)
Rfam family: 7SK RNA
About the family: 7SK was discovered as an abundant small nuclear RNA in the mid-70s but a possible function has only recently been suggested.
Source: RNAcentral
GGAUGUGAGGGCAAUCUGGCUUCAACAUCUGUCACUUCAUUGAUCGCCAGGGUUGAUUCAGCUGAUCUGGCUGGCUAGAUGGGUGUCCCCUUCCUCCCUCACCACUCCAUGUGCGUCCCUCCUGAAGCUGCGCACUCAGUUGAAGAGGAAGAAGUAAACCGCCUUCCCCGAAAUAGAGACGGACCCAUCUUCGGUCCAGGGUAUACGAGUAGCUGUGUUCCCUUGCUAGAACCUCCAAACCAAUAAUCCAAAAUUUAUUAAAUUAGGACUUAACUUUUUGAUAAUAACUCCAGAUUUUCCCUGUAUACACAAAUGUUU